RNAcentral lists this ribosomal RNA (502 nucleotides) under uncultured bacterium. RNAcentral describes it as "partial 16S ribosomal RNA". It matches the Rfam family "Bacterial small subunit ribosomal RNA", at positions 28 to 507 of the family's 1533-position model. The record is from RNAcentral.
GACGAACGCUGGCGGCGUGCUUAACACAUGCAAGUCGAACGGUGAAGGGGUCUGCUUUUGUGGGCCCUGGAUGAGUGGCGAACGGGUGAGUAACACGUGAGUAACCUGCCCCCUUCUUCUGGAUAACCGCAUGAAAGUGUGGCUAAUACGGGAUAUUCUGGGUCUGUCGCAUGAUGGGUCUGGGAAAGAUUGCGCCUUUGGGUGUUUUUGGUGGGGGAUGGGCUCGCGGCCUAUCAGCUUGUUGGUGGGGUGAUGGCCUACCAAGGCGGGGACGGGUAGCCGGCCUGGGAGGGUGGACGGUCGCACUGGGACUGAGACACGGCCCAGACUGCUACGGGAGGCAGCAGUGGGGAAUAUUGCACAAUGGGCGCAAGCCUGAUGCAGCGACGCCGCGUGAGAGAUGGAGGCCUUCGGGUUGUAAACCUCUUUCGCCAGUGAAGCAGGCCUGCUCCUUGUGGGUGGGUUGACGGUAGCCGGAGAAGAAGCGCCGGCUAACUACGUG